Molecule: unclassified non-coding RNA, 415 nt
Filed under: Hevea brasiliensis (rubber tree)
Lineage: Eukaryota; Viridiplantae; Streptophyta; Magnoliopsida; Malpighiales; Euphorbiaceae
Source: RNAcentral
GAAGGAUAAAGAAUCGUCCAGUCCACCAGCGUUCACCAAACCACCCUUCAAGCACACCAGCAUGGUGAAGUCCACUUGAAGAUGUUCCAGACAGCACAUCCCCAAUGAUAAUCAUGUACACAAUGAGUACACCAAUGUUGUUGAUUAAAACAGCAACUUGCAACAAUAUUCUCCCAUACUUUCCAAAGGCAUCACCCAUAAGUCCUCCAUAAGAAGCAUUCUUCCCUGCCCUGCUAAACCUAAGUAGCAACUCAAUUGAAGCCUCUGUCAAGAAGGCCAUAAAGAUGAUCAUAGCAACCCCAAGGCCAAGGCCUAAUACUUUCAUGGUAGCAGGCAGUGCCAUGAUUCCAGCACCAACUACGGUAGUUGAUAAAUUGAACACUGCUCCAGUAAAGGAAGCUCCAUCAAACUCAUC